This 300-nucleotide ribosomal RNA is filed under the name uncultured Halomicrobium sp. RNAcentral describes it as "bacterial SSU rRNA". It matches the Rfam family "Bacterial small subunit ribosomal RNA", at positions 496 to 795 of the family's 1533-position model. The record is from RNAcentral. Lineage: Archaea; Methanobacteriati; Methanobacteriota; Halobacteria; Halobacteriales; Haloarculaceae.
GCGUAGCGCGUGCCGGCAGCAGCGGUAAGGCGAGUCCGGCGAACUGUGUUCGGAAUUACUGGGCGUAAAGCGUGCGUAGGUGGUUCAGAGGGUUGGGAGUGAAAUCCCACGGCCUAACCGUGGAAUUGCUCUCAAAACCGCUGGACUUGAGGAGGUUAGAGGCGAGCGGAACUACGGGUGGAGCGGUGAAAUGCGUUGAUAUCCGUAGGAACACCGGUGGCGAAGGCGGCUCGCUGGGGCCUUUCUGACACUGAGGCACGAAAGCUAGGGUAGCGAACGGGAUUAGAUACCCUAGUAGUC